This 497-nucleotide ribosomal RNA is filed under the name uncultured bacterium. RNAcentral's name for it is "partial 16S ribosomal RNA". It matches the Rfam family "Bacterial small subunit ribosomal RNA", at positions 28 to 507 of the family's 1533-position model. The record is from RNAcentral.
GAUGAACGCUGGCGGCGUGCCUAAUACAUGCAAGUCGAGCGAACAGAUGAGGAGCUUGCUCCUCUGACGUUAGCGGCGGACGGGUGAGUAACACGUGGAUAACCUACCUAUAAGACUGGGAUAACUUCGGGAAACCGGAGCUAAUACCGGAUAAUAUAUUGAACCGCAUGGUUCAAUAGUGAAAGACGGUUUUGCUGUCACUUAUAGAUGGAUCCGCGCCGCAUUAGCUAGUUGGUAAGGUAACGGCUUACCAAGGCAACGAUGCGUAGCCGACCUGAGAGGGUGAUCGGCCACACUGGAACUGAGACACGGUCCAGACUCCUACGGGAGGCAGCAGUAGGGAAUCUUCCGCAAUGGGCGAAAGCCUGACGGAGCAACGCCGCGUGAGUGAUGAAGGUCUUCGGAUCGUAAAACUCUGUUAUUAGGGAAGAACAAAUGUGUAAGUAACUAUGCACGUCUUGACGGUACCUAACCAGAAAGCCACGGCUAACUACGUG